AUUAAGCAUAUCAAUAAGCGGAGGAAAAGAAACCAACAGGGAUUGCCCUAGUAACGGCGAGUGAAGCGGCAACAGCUCAAAUUUGAAAUCUGGCUCUCGGGCCCGAGUUGUAAUUUGUAGAGGAUGCUUUUGAUGCGGUGCCUUCCGAGUUCCCUGGAACGGGACGCCAUAGAGGGUGAGAGCCCCGUCUGGUUGGAUGCCAAAUCUCUGUAAAGCUCCUUCAACGAGUCGAGUAGUUUGGGAAUGCUGCUCUAAAUGGGAGGUAUAUGUCUUCUAAAGCUAAAUACCGGCCAGAGACCGAUAGCGCACAAGUAGAGUGAUCGAAAGAUGAAAAGCACUUUGAAAAGAGAGUUAAAAAGUACGUGAAAUUGUUGAAAGGGAAGCGUUUAUGACCAGACUUGGGCUUGGUUAAUCAUCUGGGGUUCUCCCCAGUGCACUUUUCCAGUCCAGGCCAGCAUCAGUUUUCCCCGGGGGAUAAAGGCGUCGGGAAUGUGGCUCUCUUCGGGGAGUGUUAUAGCCCGUCGUGUAAUACCCUGGGGGGGACUGAGGUUCGCGCAUCUGCAAGGAUGCUGGCGUAAUGGUCAUCAACGACCCGUCUUGAAACACGGACCAAGGAGUCGUCUUCGUAUGCGAGUGUUCGGGUGUCAAACCCCUACGCGUAAUGAAAGUGAACGCAGGUGAGAGCUUCGGCGCAUCAUCGACCGAUCCUGAUGUUCUCGGAUGGAUUUGAGUAAGAGCAUACGGGGCCGGACCCGAAAGAAGGUGAACUAUGCCUGUAUAGGGUGAAGCCAGAGGAAACUCUGGUGGAGGCUCGCAGCGGUUCUGACGUGCAAAUCGAUCGUCAAAUAUGGGCAUGGGGGCGAAAGACUAAUCGAACCUUCUAGUAGCUGGUUUCCGCCGAA
This 902-nucleotide ribosomal RNA is filed under the name Fusarium oxysporum. RNAcentral describes it as "LSU rRNA". It matches the Rfam family "Eukaryotic large subunit ribosomal RNA", at positions 33 to 965 of the family's 3401-position model. The record is from RNAcentral. Lineage: Eukaryota; Fungi; Ascomycota; Sordariomycetes; Hypocreales; Nectriaceae.